AGUAAGAGCCACUGGCGGCCACUCUUCUUUAAAGCAGCCAGAAGAGAGUGGGUUGAGGAAAAAUGAAGUCCUGAGCUGGUCAGCCCAGGCGAAAGAGCCACCUGAAUCCAACCCCACAGUGAAUAGGGAAGGGGCUGAGAAAACAAAAGGAGGGAUGAGGAUUAGACCUCAUAAGGCCACGUCCUGAGAGCCAAGUGAUGCUCAGAACUCGGCCUCUCUGAGUUCCAAAUGGCAAGAGUGAAAUAUGGAACCGGGAAAGCCACCCCCCACCCCCACCAAGAUCACACUAGGACUUGAGGGUCUCAGAGCUGUUGGGAGCGGCCUCAGCCUGCACACCCCAGGAGCGUGGAUGAGGACGGCCACCCCGGGCGCGCACCCCUUUCCCACCACCCCAGCAUCUCUGCAGCCCAGGACACCCGCCUCCCCCACACCCCGCAUCCGGUGUGUCUCCGCCUGGCGCUGCCGGCGCGGCAGGCGGGCCAGAGGACCAACUGCACGGCCUCACCUGCUCUUCUCCACCAUCCAGACGUUCAGCUACAGCUGGUGGGGGUGAGGGACCCUGCUCCGUGGCCGCCAAUGUGGGCUUCCUGGGCCAGCUCUGCGGCGAGGCGGGGGAGCCGAGGACGAGCCGGCAGAGGUGGGGCCGGCUCAGGGCGGAAGCGGCGGCGACGCGAUUACGAAACCCGUCCGGCUCGGAGCCGAGCGCACAGCUCCCCUCUGGACUGCGGAGGCACUGCACUGUGCGGGACGUGGGAGGGUGCCUCUGCAGCCUCUCAAGGCCGCCGCCCCUGCGGGGAGAACCGGAGAAUGCGGACACCUAGAUGAGGGCCUGGCACCCCAGCUGGGGCCCCCGGAAUCUCACGUUCCCUUUGCUCGCCAGGCAUUUCGGGGCAAAACGAAGCGGAGCCCCCCAAACCCCCAGACCUAACCAAGUUCAGAGAUUCGCAGAAGCACGCCCCCCCACCCCAAAUUUCUUGUGCUCUACCCAAAAUGGAAUAGGACUAGGUUUAUUUAUCCAUUGUGAGGGUAGAGAGGCGAGUCGGGAGGAGCAGGGAUUGGGAGAAGGGGUGGAAAAAUAUUCUGAUUCUUAAAAAUAACCUUGUAACCUCAAGUCCUUAAAUUGUGGAAGAAAGGAACACUCCUCCUUUCCAUUGUAGUCUAGAGUUAAGAUUUCAAAUCCAUAAAUUAGAGGACCUAAAAUUAGAGGGCAAUUAACUGCUCAUUCAUUGAGCCCCCAGUCAGCACGGGGGUGCUGGAAGAGAUCGGGAAUAAUAGCGCAGACCAAUGAGCCUAGGGAGAUGCUUUCAUCAUCUCUCCUUCCCUCAAGUGUUCUGGAACCUAUCAUUUGAAUUAGCCGAGUCAGGCAGGAGGGGGCGGGGAAUCCUUCCGCCCUUCUUAGGAGGGGCUGCAUUGCAGGGGGAGAGUGAACUGACAGACUCAGUCACUGAAGAGGGAAAAGGAGUGAGAAGACAAAGCCGUCAAAGCCCCAACAGCUUUGUAUUUCUCCAGCCCGGCGCAGACCCCGGAGCCCCCGAGGUACUCCCUCCAUCUUUGGAACACGCCAGUAAUUGAUUAAUAACAGGAAGCUAUGAGGGACCCUGUGAGUAGCCAGUACAGUUCCUUUCUUUUCUGGAGGAUGCCCAUCCCAGAACUGGAUCUGUCGGAGCUGGAAGGCCUGGGUCUGUCAGAUACAGCCACCUACAAGAUCAAAGGCAGCAGCGUUGGCAAAAUGAUCGGGCAAGCAACUGCAGCAGACCAGGAGAAAAACCCUGAAGGUGAUGGCCUCCUUGAGUACAGCACCUUCAACUUCUGGAGAGCUCCCAUUGCCAGCAUCCACUCCUUCGAACUGGACUUGCUCUAAGGCCAAGACUUCUCUCUCCCAUCACCUUGCCCUCACUGUCUUCCCUCUCAAGCCCCUUCCUUUCCACUCCUUUCCCAUUUUAAUCUUGUUCUCUCUCUACUGUGUUGGUGGUGCUGAUGAAUCUGCCAGAGUUGAGUUCUAUGUAUUUAUUUAUUUAUCUAUCUGUCUACUCCAUUUCUCUCAAAAGCCCUCAAGUCACAAAGUAAAUGGUUCAAGCAAUGGAGUACUGGGUCACAGGGAUUCCUCCUUUCCCCCCCAAAUAUUAACUCCAGAAACUAGGCCUGACUGGGGACACCUGAGAGUAGUAUAGUAGUGCAAAAUGGAAGACUGAUUUUUGACUCUAUUUUAAUCAGCUUCAGAGAUUCCUUAAACCUUCCUAAUUUCCUGCUCCAGGGCAGUAAACACAAGUAUUUCUUCAAGGGGUGAUGAAAACCUCGGAAGUUUUAAUGUGAGGUUAUCUGCUAUGAAACAGUAUUUCUAAAAGGCUAAAGUGAUAAGUCUCUUGCUUUUUUUUGAUCCUGCUCUUUCUUAUAUUCUUUUUUUUCCUUAGAGAAAUCAAGAGGGUAGUUAGAGGUAUAAAACAGGAGGAAAUAUUAUGGAAAAUGAAAAUAGGGAAAAUAAUUGAAUAAUUUUAGAAGUAGCUAAUUUCUGUUCUCAAAAGAAUGUCCCUUCUUCAAACCUACUCACUUUACAACUUUGCUCCUAACUGUAGGUUGAAAACUCUAGCUAAAGAAAGUUAUCAAAUCUUAACAUGCAUUCCUACUAUUAUGAUAGUUCUUAAGGUUUCAAUUCAAUCUUCUGAAAGGCGUAAGUCCUAUUUUAGCCUUACCUCCUGCAUUUGCAAUAUCUAAUUCUGGUCAGUGGGCACAGUUCUUCAGCUACAUUGAGACCCUGAAAUGAACAAUUACAUUCUGACUCUACAUCUUGUCCCCAAUCCUUCCUACAAUAUUGAUGCUGAUUUGUGCUGCCAUUUACUCGUUUAUUUAAUAAAGACAUUCAAUCCCA
This is an RNA transcript of Pongo pygmaeus (Bornean orangutan), 2866 nucleotides long. It is a transcript of the gene named MLLT11 transcription factor 7 cofactor, with no coding region annotated. The record is from RefSeq and is a predicted model, not a curated record. Lineage: Eukaryota; Metazoa; Chordata; Mammalia; Primates; Hominidae. The transcript is spliced from 3 exons.